Molecule: ribosomal RNA, 568 nt
Filed under: uncultured bacterium
Lineage: Bacteria
Description: bacterial SSU rRNA
Rfam family: Bacterial small subunit ribosomal RNA
Source: RNAcentral
CCUACGGGAGGCAGCAGUGGGGAAUAUUGGGCAAUGGAGGAAACUCUGACCCAGCGACGCCGCGUGCGGGAUGAAGGCCUUCGGGUUGUAAACCGCUUUCAGUAGGGAAGAAGCGAAAGUGACGGUACCUACAAAAGAAGCACCGGCUAACUAUGUGCCAGCAGCCGCGGUAAUACAUAGGGUGCAAGCGUUGUCCGGAAUUAUUGGGCGUAAAGAGCUCGUAGGUCGUUUGUUACGUCGGAUGUGAAAACCUGAGGCUCAACCUCAGGCCUGCAUUCGAUACGGGCAAACUAGAGUUUGGUAGGGGAGACUGGAAUUCCUGGUGUAGCGGUGGAAUGCGCAGAUAUCAGGAGGAACACCAAUGGCGAAGGCAGGUCUCUGGGCCAAUACUGACACUGGGGAGCGAAAGUCUGGGGAGCGAACAGGAUUAGAUACCCUGGUAGUCCAGACCGUAAACGGUGGGCACUAGUUGUGGGAACCUUCCACGGUUUCUGCGACGCAGCUAACGCAUUAAGUGCCCCGCCUGGGGAGUACGAUCGCAAGAUUAAAACUCAAAAGGAAUUGACGG